AUUCUGUAUAGAGUACAGUUUAACUGAUGAUGUUUUGUUGCCUGGAUGAUCUGUCCGUUCGCGAUAGUGGGGUGUUGAUUACGGUGGAGUGUUGAGUCCUUUAGGUUGUUUGAGGGACAUUCAUCAAGGAAACCGGAUAAACUUAAAACGCUCUUCCACUUCUUUGGAACAGUCACAGAGAAAAGUGAACUCCUUUCAUUCUUGCAGUAAUUUUUCUUGCUGAUGGGAACAGUUCAAGUCAAGUGACAUGGAUCAUGGCACAAGCUGCAGUUUCCACCCUGCCCAUUGAAGAUGAGGAGUCCAUGGAAGAUGAGGAGUCCGUUGAAGAUGAGUCUGUUGAAGAUGAGUCCGCAGAGAGCAGGAUGGUGGUGACAUUGCUCAUAUCAGCUCUUGAGUCCAUGGAUCAUGGCACAAGUUGCAGUUUCCACUCUGCCCAUUGAAGAUGAGGAGUCUGCUGAAGAUGAGGAGACAUUGGAGAGCAGGAUGGUGGUGACAUUCCUAAUGUCAGCUCUUGAGUCCACGGACAAUAAUACCCCACUUUUAUUCGCUAUAAUUUGCAAGAAAGAGAAAAUGGUGGAAUUUUUAUUGAAAAAGAAAGCAAGUGCACAAUGCCGUUGAUAGGCUGAGACGGU
RNAcentral lists this long non-coding RNA (632 nucleotides) under Homo sapiens (human). RNAcentral's name for it is "novel transcript". Lineage: Eukaryota; Metazoa; Chordata; Mammalia; Primates; Hominidae. The record is from RNAcentral.